CAUUUCGUAGAACGGUGGCGCUGAAUGCUGAAUAGGUGUGGAAUCUAUGGUGAAAAUUAGGUACGUGGAGCGCAUUGCGUUUGAGCUUUUUUGUCGGUUGCACAGAAUCUGAAGCGGUUCCGAUUGAUUAUUUAGGCUAAUAAUAACGGUGGGUAAAAAGCAAAUAUGUUGCUCAUCUUCUUCAUAGAGGAACUUGUCCAAGUUAUAUUAUUUACAUAGCGUACUGGUUCCAAGUCCAUAUAAAGAAGGAUGGUUGAAAUAACGCACUUUAUACUAUCCUCGUGGCUUUGCAAAAUGUGAGAUGUGAGAAUUAAUUUGCUGAUAUACAGUAUUUCUUCCUUUCCUCACGUUUUAGUCGCUUCUCCAGUACACACCAGAAUUAAUUUUCUAUAUUUUGCACUCCCGAUAUUUGGUAAUCCCAAUAUUUCCAUUGUCCAUUAGCCACACAAAUUCUACUGUAUUACAAAUUUUAAUAUAGCAAUUUUUUAACGUUACGAAACGAUCGUUAACCUCUUGCUUUCAAAUUAGCUUGUGGCGCAGCGGAGUUAACAACAUUCGAAAUUUAUUUCGAAUGUUGUUAAUUCGAUUGACAGUAGCCACCAUCGGUGUUCUCCGUGGCAGAGCAGGCCAUGAUUAAUUAAUUUUUGAAUUGAAAAAGAUGAAUAUUGAUAAGUUGAAAAAUGUCAAUUUACGAAAAUAAAAAGAAGAUUAUUUCCCGUCUCUAUGUAAUGAGUGUAUUUCUGCCUUCAGUGGAUUUAAAUGUAGUGAAUUGUCACAGAAUCCACCCGAUUUAUUCGUCUUGAACUCCAGAAAACAAACAUCCCGCAAAUAAUAUUUCAUUAUAUAUAAAGUGAUAUAAAGGCAGACAGGAACCA
This is a long non-coding RNA of Hermetia illucens (black soldier fly), 875 nucleotides long. RefSeq lists it as uncharacterized. The record is from RefSeq and is a predicted model, not a curated record. The transcript is spliced from 3 exons. NCBI's taxonomy places the organism in Eukaryota, Metazoa, Arthropoda, Insecta, Diptera, Stratiomyidae.